CUUGGUCAUUUAGAGGAAGUAAAAGUCGUAACAAGGUCUCCGUUGGUGAACCAGCGGAGGGAUCAUUACCGAGUUUACAACUCCCAAACCCCUGUGAACAUACCACUUGUUGCCUCGGCGGAUCAGCCCGCUCCCGGUAAAACGGGACGGCCCGCCAGAGGACCCCUAAACUCUGUUUCUAUAUGUAACUUCUGAGUAAAACCAUAAAUAAAUCAAAACUUUCAACAACGGAUCUCUUGGUUCUGGCAUCGAUGAAGAACGCAGCAAAAUGCGAUAAGUAAUGUGAAUUGCAGAAUUCAGUGAAUCAUCGAAUCUUUGAACGCACAUUGCGCCCGCCAGUAUUCUGGCGGGCAUGCCUGUUCGAGCGUCAUUCCAACCCUCAAGCACAGCUUGGUGUUGGGACUCGCGUUAAUUCGCGUUCCUCAAAUUGAUUGGCGGUCACGUCGAGCUUCCAUAGCGUAGUAGCAAAACCCUCGUUACUGGUAAUCGUCGCGGCCACGCCGUUAAACCCCAACUUCUGAAUGUUGACCUCGGAUCAGGUAGGAAUACCCGCUGAACUUAAGCAUAUCAAUAAGCGGAGGA
This 582-nucleotide ribosomal RNA is filed under the name uncultured fungus. Its description in RNAcentral is "eukaryotic LSU rRNA". The stretch from base 217 to 370 matches the Rfam family "5.8S ribosomal RNA". The record is from RNAcentral. Lineage: Eukaryota; Fungi.